This 484-nucleotide ribosomal RNA is filed under the name uncultured bacterium. RNAcentral describes it as "partial 16S ribosomal RNA". It matches the Rfam family "Bacterial small subunit ribosomal RNA", at positions 28 to 523 of the family's 1533-position model. The record is from RNAcentral.
GAUGAACGCUGGCGGCGUACUUAACACAUGCAAGUCGAACGGUGAAGCAGGGGCUUGCUCUUGUGGAUCAGUGGCGAACGGGUGAGUAACACGUGAGCAACCUGCCCCUGACUCUGGGAUAAGCGCUGGAAACGGCGUCUAAUACUGGAUAUGUGAUGUGACCGCAUGGUCUGCAUCUGGAAAGAAUUUCGGUUGGGGAUGGGCUCGCGGCCUAUCAGCUUGUUGGUGAGGUAAUGGCUCACCAAGGCGUCGACGGGUGGCCGGCCUGAGAGGGUGACCGGCAACACUGGGACUGAGGCACGGCCCAGACUCCUACGGGAGGCAGCAGUGGGGAAUAUUGCACAAUGGGCGGAAGCCUGAUGCAGCAACGCCGCGUGAGGGAUGACGGCCUUCGGGUUGUAAACCUCUUUUAGCAGGGAAGAAGCGAAAGUGACGGUACCUGCAGAAAAAGCACCGGCUAACUACGUGCCAGCCGCCGCCGUAA